This 467-nucleotide ribosomal RNA is filed under the name uncultured bacterium. RNAcentral's name for it is "partial 16S ribosomal RNA". It matches the Rfam family "Bacterial small subunit ribosomal RNA", at positions 28 to 507 of the family's 1533-position model. The record is from RNAcentral.
GAUGAACGCUGACAGAAUGCUUAACACAUGCAAGUCAACUUGAAUUUGGGUUUUUAACUUAGGUUUGGGUGGCGGACGGGUGAGUAACGCGUAAAGAACUUGCCUCACAGCUAGGGACAACAUUUGGAAACGAAUGCUAAUACCUAAUAUUAUGAUAAUAGGGCAUCCUAUAAUUAUGAAAGCUAUAAGCGCUGUGAGAGAGCUUUGCGUCCCAUUAGCUAGUUGGAGAGGUAACGGCUCACCAAGGCGAUGAUGGGUAGCCGGCCUGAGAGGGUGAUCGGCCACAAGGGGACUGAGACACGGCCCUUACUCCUACGGGAGGCAGCAGUGGGGAAUAUUGGACAAUGGACCGAGAGUCUGAUCCAGCAAUUCUGUGUGCACGAUGAAGUUUUUCGGAAUGUAAAGUGCUUUCAGUUGGGAAGAAACAAAUGACGGUACCAACAGAAGAAGUGACGGCUAGAUACGUG